UAGAAGAGUAACUUUAGUUAGCAAUGUGAGACUGGUGUCAUUACUUAUUCAGGCAGUUAUGCAUUCAUUCCACAUUUAUGAAGGGCUUCCCAUACACCAGAAAUUACAAAAAUCCAUGAAGCACAUCUCCAGCUCCCCGGAGACUGAUGCUCUUGGGAGAAACGCUGUGUGCCCGUACGUAAUAGGGGGCUGUGCACUGAGUGCCCCAGGAGAAGGAACGUCAAACGUUGGAGCGAGUGCCUCACGCUGCCCUGGGGCACUAGGGAAGGAGCGAGAAGGUCAGGCUCCAGUUGGGUCUGGAAAGAUGGCAGAUAUUCAAGAUUGAAGGAAGAAGGACGUUUCCAGUAGAGUGAACAUGAAAUUGUAGGGAAAGGACCAAGAGCUGGUUGGACACCCUGUGGACCGGAAAGAAUGCUGACUCAGGAGCCAGGGUCACAGAGGAAAUUAGGACUGAAGACUUUGGUUACGGCAUCAAGAAGGAGUCUACAGGAAUCUUCUUCUGCCUUCUCUGUUCUUCCUGCCCCCACUUCUAUAAACAGACUCACACCGAAUUGUCGAGAGCCCUAGUCCUGGGGGGGUCAGCCCCCUGGAGCCAGGCCAUCACUGUCCUAAGGUGGCCGAGGUCUUCCCAACAGGAGGUGCUAACAAGCUUUGAAGAGGAAGCAAACAGGAGAAGCUCAGACAGUGCAGAAACUGUCAGAGUGAAUAUUUUAAAAGCCUCCCACUGGAGCUGUCUCUAGUGUUCACGAAGAGCUGUUAAACUUUUUAAAUGUUGAAAUCAUUAGCCCUUUUAUUGUGUCAUUCUGCCACAUUCACUUCCAUCUCUGUCCACCCACCAGCCACCCCCGUUCCUCCCCACAAGCUGAAUUGCACCAUAUUCUAAUCUUCUGAGAUGGAACUCCC
RNAcentral lists this long non-coding RNA (903 nucleotides) under Equus caballus (horse). Its description in RNAcentral is "lncRNA (ENSECAG00000047978.1)". The record is from RNAcentral. Lineage: Eukaryota; Metazoa; Chordata; Mammalia; Perissodactyla; Equidae.